Molecule: unclassified non-coding RNA, 490 nt
Filed under: Hevea brasiliensis (rubber tree)
Lineage: Eukaryota; Viridiplantae; Streptophyta; Magnoliopsida; Malpighiales; Euphorbiaceae
Source: RNAcentral
ACAAAAAAAAAAAGUCCCAUUUCUUCAAAUUCUCUAUAGAACUCAAAUGCGUCACACAGUAACGGAAAACACUGAUGGAAGAGAAUUAAGGAUGAAUAAAAUUUAACAUAAUCAAAUGUAUUCUGCACCCCACAAGUUUAAGAUUACUGUAAUGCCCCAAAGACAAUUUAUCAUGCUAGGGCAAAUUACAAAAUGCAUUUUGAGUAAUUAACCCUGACCAAAAAAAAUAGGGGUUAAAAGGAUUAACAUUUGUGAUUGAAGCACAAGCUCAAACAUAUGAUGCACAAUCCGUUAGUCAUAUAUAUUUAAACUCCAAAACCAAGCCCACUUUCUCCCAAUGGAAUUCCUUCCAGAAAGCAAAAAGCCAGGACUAUAAGAUUCUUUUAGAAUAACUAAGGAAACGAAAACCUAACAGAAUCAUAUUAUCACAUAUCAACAGAAUCAUGUUAAGUUUUAAUUUUUAACACACUCACAAUAAAAGAAGAAAUGA